UCAGUAACAUUCGUAUUGACCGAAAUAUA
RNAcentral lists this small RNA (29 nucleotides) under Bombyx mori (domestic silkworm). RNAcentral's name for it is "ovarian small RNA-25746". The record is from RNAcentral. Lineage: Eukaryota; Metazoa; Arthropoda; Insecta; Lepidoptera; Bombycidae.